Molecule: ribosomal RNA, 468 nt
Filed under: uncultured bacterium
Lineage: Bacteria
Description: partial 16S ribosomal RNA
Rfam family: Bacterial small subunit ribosomal RNA
Source: RNAcentral
GACGAACGCUGGCGGCGUGCUUAACACAUGCAAGUCGAACGGAAAGGCCCUGCUUUUGUGGGGUGCUCGAGUGGCGAACGGGUGAGUAACACGUGAGUAACCUGCCCUUGACUUUGGGAUAACUUCAGGAAACUGGGGCUAAUACCGGAUAGGAGCUCCUGCUGCAUGGUGGGGGUUGGAAAGUUUCGGCGGUUGGGGAUGGACUCGCGGCUUAUCAGCUUGUUGGUGGGGUAGUGGCUUACCAAGGCUUUGACGGGUAGCCGGCCUGAGAGGGUGACCGGCCACAUGGGGACGGAGAUACGGCCCAGACUCCUACGGGAGGCAGCAGUGGGGAAUAUUGCACAAUGGGCGGAAGCCUGAUGCAGCAACGCCGCGUGCGGGAUGACGGCCUUCGGGUUGUAAGCCGCUUUCGCCUGUGACGAAGCGUGAGUGACGGUAAUGGGUAAAGAAGCACCGGCUAACUACGUG